This 700-nucleotide ribosomal RNA is filed under the name uncultured bacterium. Its description in RNAcentral is "bacterial SSU rRNA". It matches the Rfam family "Bacterial small subunit ribosomal RNA", at positions 94 to 791 of the family's 1533-position model. The record is from RNAcentral.
ACCGGCGCACGGGUGAGUAACGCGUAUGCAACCCACCUUAUACAGGAGUAUAGCCCGAAGAAAUUCGGAUUAAUCCUCCAUAGUAUUCUUUAAUGGCAUCAUUUGAAGAAUUAAAGCUUCGGCGGUAUAAGAUGGGCAUGCGUCCUAUUAGCUAGAUGGUAAGGUAACGGCUUACCAUGGCUACGAUAGGUAGGGGGCCUGAGAGGGUGAUCCCCCACACUGGUACUGAGACACGGACCAGACUCCUACGGGAGGCAGCAGUGAGGAAUAUUGGGCAAUGGGCGCAAGCCUGACCCAGCCAUGCCGCGUGCAGGAAGAAUGCCCUAUGGGUUGUAAACUGCUUUUAUUUAGGAAUAAACCCCUUUACGUGUAGAGGGCUGAAUGUACUAAACGAAUAAGCACCGGCUAACUCCGUGCCAGCAGCCGCGGUAAUACGGAGGGUGCAAGCGUUAUCCGGAAUCAUUGGGUUUAAAGGGUCCGCAGGCGGAUGUAUAAGUCAGUGGUGAAAUCCUGCAGCUUAACUGCAGAACUGCCAUUGAUACUGUACAUCUUGAAUUCGGUCGAAGUGGGCGGAAUGUGUAGUGUAGCGGUGAAAUGCAUAGAUAUUACACAGAACACCGAUAGCGAAGGCAGCUCACUAGGCCUGGAUUGACGCUCAGGGACGAAAGCGUGGGGAUCAAACAGGAUUAGAUACCCUGGU